CGGCUCUCCCCCCGCCCGCCGCCGCCCGCAGCCAUGGCGACCGAGCUGGCGUACGCGCCGCCGAUGAAGUCCGGCAAGGCCGGCUUCGAGGGCCCGCAGGAGGCGCAGCACCGCAUCCGCAUCACCCUCUCCUCCAAGAGCGUCAAGAACCUCGAGAAGGUGUGCUCCGAUCUGGUGAGGGGCGCCAAGGACAAGCUGCUCCGGGUCAAGGGCCCCGUCAGGAUGCCCACCAAGGUGCUCAACAUCACCACCAGGAAGUCCCCCUGCGGAGAAGGUACCAACACCUGGGAUCGGUUUGAGAUGCGGGUGCACAAGCGGGUGAUCGACCUCGUCAGCUCCCCGGACGUUGUCAAGCAGAUCACCUCGAUCACCAUUGAGCCCGGCGUUGAGGUUGAGGUGACCAUCAGCGACCAGUAG
This 417-nucleotide ribosomal RNA is filed under the name Triticum aestivum (bread wheat). Its description in RNAcentral is "partial small subunit ribosomal RNA". Lineage: Eukaryota; Viridiplantae; Streptophyta; Magnoliopsida; Poales; Poaceae. The record is from RNAcentral.